RNAcentral lists this ribosomal RNA (998 nucleotides) under Drosophila guanche. Its description in RNAcentral is "SSU_rRNA_microsporidia". It matches the Rfam family "Bacterial small subunit ribosomal RNA", at positions 385 to 1533 of the family's 1533-position model. Lineage: Eukaryota; Metazoa; Arthropoda; Insecta; Diptera; Drosophilidae. The record is from RNAcentral.
UACCGGGCAUAGCCCGGAUAUAAAUAAAUAAUAAAAGGUUAACAAUAAACUUCUAAUUAUGUAUAAUAAUGAUAUAUAUAAGAAAGAGUCCUGACCAAAACGUGUGCCAGCAGCUGCGGUUAGACAUGGUGGGCAAGCAUUAAUCAGAAAGGCUUAAAGAAUCAGUAGUACGGUUAAAAUAUUUUAACUAGAAUAAAUAAAAUAGGUUAUAUGAAAUAAUAUUUAAGGGAUGAAAUACUAUGAAAAUAUUAUAACAGCAAAGAAAUAACUGAAUAUUUAUUGACGUUGUGAGAUGAAGGCUACGUUUGCGACAUGGAUUCGAUACCCAUUUAGUCGUAGCAGUGAACUAUGAAUACUAUAAUAACUUAUUUAUAAGUUAAGAAUAAUUAAAAUGUAAAGUAUUCCGCCUGAAUAGUACGCUCGCAAGGGUGAAAUACAAGACAUUAGACGGUUGUAGUCUUAAGCAGUGGAACAUGUUGUUUAAUUGGAUGAUCCUCCUAAAACCUUACCAUCUCUUGAAUUAUUAACAGGCGUUACAUCGUUGUCGUCAGUUCAUGCCAUGAGGUAUUAUAUUAAGUUAUAUAAUGAACACAAUCCUUAAUAAUAUAUUUAUAUAUUAUAAAGUAUUUUUUACAAAUAAUAGGAAGUCAAGGGCGAAGACUAAUCAUGAUGACCCUAAUGAGAUGGGCUAUAGACGUGUUACGAUGUUAUUGACAAUUAUAUAAAUUUAUAUUUAAAUAUUUAUUAUUAUUAAACAAUAAGAUUAUGAUUUUUAUCUUUCAUGGAUUAUAGUUUGAAAUUCAACUAUAUGAAGGAGGAAUUGCCAGUAAUCGUAAACUAGAGAGUUACGGUGAAAUUUAAUACUACUUCGUACUAACCACUCAUCAACAGCAAGAAAUUUUUACUUUCCUGAAAAGUUUAUUUUUAGGUUCGUUUAUAAGUGACCUGUUGUAAGUUGAAAUACGGUUCGGUUAGGGGAACCUGAUCGGGAUUUAUUA